GAUGAACGCUGGCGGCAUGCCUAAUACAUGCAAGUCGAGCGAACAGAUGAAGUGCUUGCACCUCUGACGUUAGCGGCGAACGGGUGAGUAACACGUAAGGAAUCUACCUAUAAGCGGGGGAUAACAUUCGGAAACGGGUGCUAAUACCGCAUAAUAUCUUCUUCCGCAUGGAAGAAGAUUGAAAGACGGCUCUGCUGUCACUUAUAGAUGACCUUGCGGUGCAUUAGUUAGUUGGUGGGGUAACGGCCUACCAAGACGAUGAUGCAUAGCCGACCUGAGAGGGUGAUAGGCCACAUUGGGACUGAGACACGGCCCAAACUCCUACGGGAGGCAGCAGUAGGGAAUCUUCCGCAAUGGGCGAAAGCCUGACGGAGCAAUGCCGCGUGAGUGAAGAAGGCCUUCGGGUCGUAAAACUCUGUUAUAAGAGAAGAACAAAUUGUAGAGUAACUGCUACAGUCUUGACGGUAUCUUAUCAGAAAGCCACGGCUAACUACGUGCCAGCCGCCGCCGUAA
Molecule: ribosomal RNA, 513 nt
Filed under: uncultured bacterium
Lineage: Bacteria
Description: partial 16S ribosomal RNA
Rfam family: Bacterial small subunit ribosomal RNA
Source: RNAcentral